Long non-coding RNA from Malaya genurostris, 1989 nucleotides. RefSeq lists it as uncharacterized. The record is from RefSeq and is a predicted model, not a curated record. The transcript is spliced from 5 exons. Lineage: Eukaryota; Metazoa; Arthropoda; Insecta; Diptera; Culicidae.
UUUAACGUGCAUAAUUAAAAUUGUCGGAAAAAACAACGGUCACGUUUUCCUAUCGUGGUUAGUUUUUCAACUGGUGCAGCAUGAAGAAGAAAAAUACAAGAGUUGUAAAGCAAAAUACAAGCCUGCGUUUGAAAUCGAACCGUGACAACAUUGCAUUUGUCGCUGAAAUAGUUCGAUCUGAGCAAGAGGUAAAAAUAUUUAAUUUUAUCGAAAAACUAUCAACUUUAUAUAACCUCACUUUUUCGCAGAAUGUUCAUCAGCACAAUGUUUCAGAUGCAACGGAAAAGUGCGAUUCCCCUCAGAAAUUUCCAAGAAAAACGGCCAAAAAAUCUGAUUGUAAACGGUCUCCGAAACCAAAACAAACAGAAAGUCAACAUCCUAUACCAGCUACCGGCUCCCGAUCAAGUGGAGCUCGCUUGCAACAACCUGAUUUAAAUAGCUCAAAGGAAAGUGUAUGUUCACCCAAAAAGAAGUCGAAGUUGGACAAACUAUGUCUCGAUAACCAUUCAGAAUCUGUUGAAGAAUGUGAAAUGGAAGAACGGAGAACGCAAAAUUGUAAUAUACCUGGCAUAUCGAGGUCUUGCAGAGUACGGCUACGAAAGAAAAGACAAAUUUGUUUAUGCACACCAUGCAUUGCAAAUCAAAAUUCGGAAUUUAAUCGAAAUUCUUAAAUUACGAAAACCUUGACUCGCUGUUCUUCAGUGGAGGUAUGUAAAAAAACUUUCCAUACAUAACAUUUACAACAUUUGUUUUGUUCAGAGUUUUUCUAAAAGCGCUUCGGUGAGGCUUCAAGAUUUUGAUUCUACUGAUAUUUCAACUGAAGCAAAACCAACGACUAAAUCUGUAAAUAAAAAUAUUACAUUAAAAUCAGAUAAACUGCGUCAACGAUAUCUGAGCUCUGAUUAUCCCAGCGACAUAAAAGAGACGGCCGUGAUGAAUUUAAAGGCAAAUCAACAGUUUGAAGGCAUAUUUGCUGGAAAAUCCAAACUGAACACAGUUAAUUCGCGACAAUCAGCUAUUACGAAUUCGAUAUGUGACUCAGAUCUAUUGAGAGAAACGAAGACAGCUAACGUAGUUGGAAAACAUCCACCGAUUAACAACUCUUCUGUCACCAAUAAUGCGAAAGUUGUUACAAGAAUGGAAUCAAAAUUAAUAUAAUCUUCGGAUACAGACUUUACGUCAUUGGAUGAUGUCAACGGCGAAUAUUUCGUUUCUCGUUCUAAAUUACCUAUGUCUAAAACAAUUCGAACAAUCAUUAGAGAUACCACAAAGAAUAAAAAUCGUAUGCAGUCUAUAUUGACCCCCUUAAGUAAUAGGGUAUCUCCAGCAACCAACAGCUUUACAGAUUCCUCAACUGACGAUAUGGCUAACGUUGGCGAUUACUCUUCAAAAGGUUGCGUCAAUUGUAAGAUACUUAGUAAAAGAAUUCUAAGUUUAACAAAACGUUUAACAAAGAUUACGAGAGUAUAUCGUGAUUUACGCAUUAAAUCAAACCGUUUAGCAUGUGCAUUAACAUCUCGUCUAUUGCCAAGUGAAGACAAUUUCAAUUUUAAGACAGUUCCCGGGUAUCCAUCUGCGGAUAAAUUAACUCAGCUCUCGAAUCACGCUGGAGAUAGUGAUUUCAUUUUCAUUAAACUUGUAAUGAAAGAACUCUGGCCAAAGGGAUUUCACGGCAGAACUGUAACUGGUAGAGCAUCUAAUAAUCCUUCAGGUCGACCGAUUGAUGUCAGCAAUGCUAAUUCAUCAGUUCAUAUGCCCUUGGCAAACGAUAGUUCUGGGAAAGAACCACUUGAGAAAGAAAAGGUCAACUAUGUUAAAGAACGCCUUUAUGAAAGAAAAAUACUGACUGGAAUGGAUCCAACGACUGCUGCACAAGAAUCUGCGAGACAAUCCGGAAGACAUAUGGCAAGAGUAAUUGCAUAUUAUGCCAAAAUGGGACAUUUUUGAAGUUGAAUUAUAACAAAUAAUAUGCGUUGAAAUAUUACUUUA